RNAcentral lists this ribosomal RNA (323 nucleotides) under uncultured prokaryote. RNAcentral's name for it is "bacterial SSU rRNA". It matches the Rfam family "Bacterial small subunit ribosomal RNA", at positions 26 to 352 of the family's 1533-position model. The record is from RNAcentral.
AGAUUGAACGCUGGCGGCAUGCUUUACACAUGCAAGUCGAACGGCAGCACGGGGGGCAACCCUGGUGGCGAGUGGCGAACGGGUGAGUAAUGCAUCGGAACGUAUCCUUGAGUGGGGGAUAACGCAGCGAAAGUUGUGCUAAUACCGCAUAAGCUCUGAGGAGGAAAGCGGGGGACCAAAGGCCUCGCGCUGAAGGAGCGGCCGAUGUCCGAUUAGCUAGUUGGUGAGGUAAAGGCUUACCAAGGCGACGAUCGGUAGCUGGUCUGAGNGGAUGAAUCAGCACNCUGGGACUGAGACACGGCCCAGACUCUACGGGGAGCAGC